UACGUAGGUGGCAAGCGUUGUCCGGAUUUACUGGGCGUAAAGAGCGCGCAGGCGGUCGUUCAAGUCGCGUGUGAAAGCCCCCGGCUCAACUGGGGAGGGUCACGCGAUACUGAUCGACUCGAAGGCAGGAGAGGGUAGUGGAAUUCCCGGUGUAGUGGUGAAAUGCGUAGAUAUCGAGAGGAACACCGGUGGCGAAGGCGGCUAUCUGGACGAUGACUGACGCUGAGACGCGAAAGCGUGGGGAGCAAACAGG
RNAcentral lists this ribosomal RNA (253 nucleotides) under uncultured bacterium. RNAcentral's name for it is "partial 16S ribosomal RNA". It matches the Rfam family "Bacterial small subunit ribosomal RNA", at positions 524 to 776 of the family's 1533-position model. The record is from RNAcentral.